This 405-nucleotide ribosomal RNA is filed under the name uncultured bacterium. Its description in RNAcentral is "partial 16S ribosomal RNA". It matches the Rfam family "Bacterial small subunit ribosomal RNA", at positions 28 to 526 of the family's 1533-position model. The record is from RNAcentral.
GAUGAACGCUGGCGGCGUGCCUCCUACAUGCAAGUCGAGCGAAGAGGGGACGGGUGAGUAACACGUGGAUAACCUCCUAUAAGACUGGGCUAACUUCGGGAAACCAGAGCUAAACCGGCUCCUUAUAGCUUGAUCCGCGCUGCAUUAGCUAGUUGGUAAGGUAACGGCUUACCAAGGCAACGAUGCAUAGCCGACCGGAGAGGGUGAUCGGACACACUGGAACUGAGACACGGUCCAGACUCCUACGGGAGGCAGCAGUAGGGAAUCUUCCGCAAUGGGCGAAAGCCUGACGGAGCAACGCCGCGUGAGUGAUGAAGGUCUUCGGAUCGUAAAACGCUGUGAUUAGGGAAGCGGUAAAUAAACAGAAAGCCACGGCUAACUACGUGCCAGCCGCAGCGGUAAUAG